Molecule: small nuclear RNA, 97 nt
Filed under: Marmota marmota marmota (Alpine marmot)
Lineage: Eukaryota; Metazoa; Chordata; Mammalia; Rodentia; Sciuridae
Also listed under: 1 other name
Source: RNAcentral
GUGCUCACUUCAGUCACACAUAUACUAAAAUUGGAAUGAUACAAAGAUUAGCAUGUGCAAGGAUGACAUGGAAAUUUGUGAAGCAUACCAUAUUUAA